AGCUUAGAUGUGGUUUUGGAGGCU
Molecule: non-coding RNA, 24 nt
Filed under: Arabidopsis thaliana (thale cress)
Lineage: Eukaryota; Viridiplantae; Streptophyta; Magnoliopsida; Brassicales; Brassicaceae
Source: RNAcentral